This 325-nucleotide long non-coding RNA is filed under the name Spirodela polyrhiza (greater duckweed). RNAcentral describes it as "long non-coding RNA (SPOL_LNC001668)". The record is from RNAcentral. Lineage: Eukaryota; Viridiplantae; Streptophyta; Magnoliopsida; Alismatales; Araceae.
UUUUUGGGGAUACGCGCGAUUUUCCAGCUCCACAUCAAAUUUGCGGUCCCCGGGCGACGGCGACCUCCCCCCGCCAGCCCACUCGCUGCGACGUGCUGAUCCAGCUUUAUAAAUACAGGCGGGUUUCUGAUGAUUUAGACAGGCUUCUCUCACAUUCUGGUGGGUAAGAGGGCACGAGGAGUUGGAGGUGUAGUGCAGAGAAGGUGGGAAGCUAUGGACGCAGCAGACGCCGGAGGAGAUGGCGGAGUUCCUCGCCUCGUAUUUCUUCCUACGCCAGGUAUGGGUCACCUCAUCCCCUUGGCUGAGUUCGCCAAGCGNNNNNNNN